UUUUUUUUUUUUUUUUUUGAGUAGUAGACUCUCACUCUGUCACCCAGGCUGUAGGGCAGUGGUGCGAUCUCAGCUCACUGCAAUCUCCACCUCCCAGGUUCAAGGGAUUCUCCUGCCUCAGCCUCCCAAGUAGCUGGGAUGACAGACUAAAUCUGUAGCCUGCCGAGUAGCGUGCCUGCCACCACACCCAGCUAAUUUUUGUAUUUUUAGUAGAGAUGGGGUUUCACCAUGUUGGUCAGGCUAGUCUGGAACUCCUGACCUCAAGUGAUCCACUCUCAUUGGCCUCCCAAAGUGCUGGGAUUACAGGCAGGAGCCACCAGGGCUGCCACUUUGAUCUAAGACUCAGAGAGUAUAGAUGGGAUAAGGUGGGGGUGGGAACAGGUAGUCAAGGCUGACUCUACCUCAAAGGUAGGGUAGAGAAGAUGACUACCAUCUUCUUCAAAGAUGCCUUGAAGAACUGGGCAGGAGAGUCCCUCACAGAUGGCUGCCUGGGCGGGACCCCACCAAACUGAAAGAGCGAGACUUCAGGUAGGGCAGAUGGAGUAGGCCACCCACAGAGCCAGAGGUGACACUGUGAGAGCACUGGGCCUGGAAGUCAGGGCAUCAAGCCAAAGAGGGUUUUUCUUAAGACCGAACAUAAUUUGCCUUGCCAGGUUUUGGACUUGAUUAGGACACAUUACACCUUCCUUCUUUCCUAUUUCUCCAUUUUCUAAUGGGAAUGUCUAUCAUGCCUGUUUCACCAUUGUACCUCAGAAGCAUGUAACAUUUCUGGUUUCACAGGUUCAAAGCUGGAAAGGAAUUUUGUCUCUGGAUGAAUCGCACAUUGAGUCUCACCCAUAACCUGAUUUAGAUGAUUUUUUAGAUGACACUUUGAACUUUAGAAUUGAUGCUAGAAUGAGUUAAGACUUUCAGGGGGCUGUUGGGAUGGAAUAAUUUUUUUUUUAUUUUUUAUUUUUUAUUUUUUUAAGGAGUCUAGCUCUGUUGCUCAGGCUGGAGUGCAGUGGCGUGAUCUCAGCUCAUUGCAAGCUCCGCCUCCCGGGUUUAUGCCAUUCUCCUGCCUUAUUUAGCCUUGAGUAGCUGGGACUACAGGGGCCCGCCACCAGGCCUGAUUCAUUUUUUUGUGUUUUAGUAGAGACGGGGUUUCACCGUGUUAGCCAGAAUGGUCUCAAUGUCUUGACCUUGUGAUCCACCCGCCUUGGCCUCCCAAAGUGCUGGGAUUACAGGCGUGAGCCACCGUGCCAGGCAAUGGAAUAAAUUUUUUGUAUGGGAGAAGGACACACAUUUUGGCAGGCCAGGGACAGAAUGUUAUGGACUAAAUUGUGUCCCCCAAAAUUCAUUUAUUAAAACUCUAAACCCCAAUGUGACUGUAUUUGGAGAUAGGGCCUUUAGGAGGUACAUAAAACUAAAGGUCAUAGGAUAGGGCCCUAAUCCCACUGGGGCUGGUGUCCUUAUAGAAGGUAAGGAGACACUUAGAGCUCAUUCUCCACUCAGGAAGCAAGGAAACACCAUAUAAACACACAGUGAUGGCAGCUGUUUGUAAGCCAGGAACAGAUUCUCUACACACUAUGUUGGCACCUUGAUCUUAAACUUCCAGGCUCCAAAAGUGUGAGAAAACGAAUUUCCAUUCCAAGCCUCUUAGAUAUGGGAAAAAAUAUUCUGUUGUUUAAGUGAUCCAGUCUCUGGUAUUUUGUUAUGGCAGCCUGAAUAGGCUAAGACAAUGAAGGAUGUGGUAAAACUUUAGGUCCCAACCACAUACCAAAGAGGC
RNAcentral lists this long non-coding RNA (1765 nucleotides) under Macaca fascicularis (crab-eating macaque). Its description in RNAcentral is "lncRNA (ENSMFAG00000057752.1)". Lineage: Eukaryota; Metazoa; Chordata; Mammalia; Primates; Cercopithecidae. The record is from RNAcentral.